Molecule: long non-coding RNA, 703 nt
Organism: Rhineura floridana
Lineage: Eukaryota; Metazoa; Chordata; Lepidosauria; Squamata; Rhineuridae
Exons: 3
Source: RefSeq, a predicted model, not a curated record
CUCCUCUUCAUCCUCGUCACUCCAGGGCUGCACCACAGGACUUAUGAGACCCACUGGCUUUGUGGCAGAUUGGACUGGUGGUAAACUCAUUGGAGGUUUUCUCACAAGGAAGCUCAAGGUAAUUGUUCCAUCUAAUGUUGAAAGACAUGCAUUUCAGUGUGUGCACAGCAGGGGCAGAGCCUGCCACAACCCACCAUCCGUGAAUCCAGUGUAUGCGUGAAGAAGAGCCCUAACAUCUGAAGAAGACUCAAGGAUGCAACAGCUAUUUUUUAAAAGAAAAAAUGCUUACAAACUUUGCUACAUUUUAAAUGUGAGGCAAUAAAUGGAUAGCUGACUGCUUGGGAACCACAUGUAUGCUGGGAGCAGGGUUGGCGCAAGAGACUGCAUCACCUGAGCCACCUCCCCACAGUCCUCUUCAUCUCCCCCUGCCUCUAUUCAGACCUUCUGUGGUUGAUGUGAUACUUGCUUUCAUUAGCUGUUGUGUAGUCUUACUCAUUCCUUUUGUUCAGUUAGUUUUAUUGGCAGUGUAUUCUGUUUUCACUAUGAUAUCGUACAGUGUUUUAGCCAUUGUUCCUUGCCUUGAGAAUCUUGCAUUGAAAACCAGGGUAAACAGAUUGUGAAAUACGUAAACAACUUAGCACAGCAUAAUCGAAAUGUCAAUUUGCUAUUUCCCCACUACAUUUCACUUAUGAAAAAAAUGAAU